GCCGGCCCUCUCGUUUAGAUUGAGGAGCUUGCUCCUGAUUGAUAAACAUUUGAGUGAGUGGCGGACGGGUGAGUAACACGUGGGUAACCUGCCCUAAAGUGGGGGAUAACAUUUGGAAACAGAUGCUAAUACCGCAUAAAACCUAGCACCGCAUGGUGCAGGGUUGAAAGAUGGUUUCGGCUAUCACUUUAGGAUGGACCCGCGGUGCAUUAGUUAGUUGGUGAGGUAAAGGCUCACCAAGACCGUGAUGCAUAGCCGACCUGAGAGGGUAAUCGGCCACACUGGGACUGAGACACGGCCCAGACUCCUACGGGAGGCAGCAGUAGGGAAUCUUCCACAAUGGACGAAAGUCUGAUGGAGCAACGCCGCGUGAGUGAAGAAGGUUUUCGGAUCGUAAAACUCUGUUGUUGGAGAAGAAUGUAUCUGAUAGUAACUGAUCAGGUAGUGACGGUAUCCAACCAGAAAGCCACGGCUAACUACGUGCCAGCAGCCGCGGUAAUACGUAGGUGGCAAGCGUUGUCCGGAUUUAUUGGGCGUAAAGCGAGCGCAGGCGGUUUCUUAAGUCUGAUGUGAAAGCCUUCGGCUCAACCGAAGAAGUGCAUCGGAAACUGGGAAACUUGAGUGCAGAAGAGGACAGUGGAACUCCAUGUGUAGCGGGAUU
Molecule: ribosomal RNA, 661 nt
Filed under: Latilactobacillus sakei
Lineage: Bacteria; Bacillati; Bacillota; Bacilli; Lactobacillales; Lactobacillaceae
Description: bacterial SSU rRNA
Rfam family: Bacterial small subunit ribosomal RNA
Source: RNAcentral